CCUACGGGAGGCAGCAGUGAGGAAUAUUGGUCAAUGGCCGGAAGGCUGAACCAGCCAUUCCGCGUGAAGGUCAGUGCCCUAUGGGCGGUAAACUUCUUUUGUGCGGGAGCAAUAAUGGUCACGUGUGGCCAGACGAGAGUACCGUACGAAUAAGCAUCGGCUAACUCCGUGCCAGCAGCCGCGGUAAUACGGGGGAUGCAAGCGUUAUCCGGAUUCAUUGGGCUUAAAGGGAGCGUAGGGGGGAGUUCAAUUCAGCUGUAAAAUCGCGCGGCUCAACCGGGCACCGCAGUUGACACUGGACGAAUUGAGUUCACAACAGGCAGGCGGAAUUCGUGGUGUAGCGGUGAAAUGCAUAGAUAUCACGAGGAACCCCGAUUGCGAAGGCAGCCUGCCGGGGUGCGACUGACGCUGAGGCUCGAAGGUGCGGGUAUCAAACAGGAUUAGAUACCCUGGUAGUC
Molecule: ribosomal RNA, 458 nt
Filed under: uncultured bacterium
Lineage: Bacteria
Description: partial 16S ribosomal RNA
Rfam family: Bacterial small subunit ribosomal RNA
Source: RNAcentral